AGUGGCGGACGGGUGAGUAACGCGUGAGAAUCUGCCUUCAGGUCGGGGACAACAGAGGGAAACUUCUGCUAAUCCCGGAUGAGCCUUAGGGUAAAAAAUUUAUUGCCUGGAGAUGAGCUCGCGUCUGAUUAGCUAGUUGGUAAGGUAAAAGCUUACCAAGGCAACGAUCAGUAGCUGGUCUGAGAGGAUGAGCAGCCACACUGGGACUGAGACACGGCCCAGACUCCUACGGGAGGCAGCAGUGGGGAAUUUUCCGCAAUGGGCGAAAGCCUGACGGAGCAAGACCGCGUGGGGGAGGAAGGCUCUAGGGUUGUAAACCCCUUUUCUUUGGGAAGAACAAAAUGACGGUACCAAAGGAAUCAGCCUCGGCUAACUCCGUGCCAGCAGCCGCGGUAAUACGGAGGAGGCAAGCGUUAUCCGGAAUGAUUGGGCGUAAAGCGUCCGCAGGUGGCAAUGUAAGUCUGCUGUCAAAACCCAGGGCUCAACUCUGGUCAGGCAGUGGAAACUACAUAGCUAGAGUUCGGUACGGGCAAAGGGAAUUCCCGGUGUAGCGGUGAAAUGCGUAGAGAUCGGGAAGAACAUCGGUGGCGAAAGCGCUUUGCUAGACCGAAACUGACACUCAGGGACGAAAGCUAGGGGAGCGAAUGGGAUUAGAUACCCC
This 661-nucleotide ribosomal RNA is filed under the name uncultured bacterium. RNAcentral's name for it is "bacterial SSU rRNA". It matches the Rfam family "Bacterial small subunit ribosomal RNA", at positions 94 to 788 of the family's 1533-position model. The record is from RNAcentral.